UACGUAGGGUGCAAGCGUUGUCCGGAAUUAUUGGGCGUAAAGAGCUCGUAGGCGGUCUGUCGCGUCGGCUGUGAAAACCCGAGGCUCAACCUCGGGCCUGCAGUCGAUACGGGCAAACUAGAGUACUGCAGGGGAGACUGGAAUUCUCGGUGUAGCGGUGAAAAUGCGUAGAUAUCGAGAGGAACACCUGCGGCGAAGGCGGGU
This 204-nucleotide ribosomal RNA is filed under the name uncultured bacterium. RNAcentral's name for it is "partial 16S ribosomal RNA". It matches the Rfam family "Bacterial small subunit ribosomal RNA", at positions 524 to 726 of the family's 1533-position model. The record is from RNAcentral.